GACGAACGCUGGCGGCGUGCCUAAUACAUGCAAGUUGAGCGCUGAAGGUUGGUACUUGUACCAACUGGAUGAGCAGCGAACGGGUGAGUAACGCGUGGGGAAUCUGCCUUUGAGCGGGGGACAACAUUUGGAAACGAAUGCUAAUACCGCAUAAAAACUUUAAACACAAGUUUUAAGUUUGAAAGAUGCAAUUGCAUCACUCAAAGAUGAUCCCGCGUUGUAUUAGCUAGUUGGUGAGGUAAAGGCUCACCAAGGCGAUGAUACAUAGCCGACCUGAGAGGGUGAUCGGCCACAUUGGGACUGAGACACGGCCCAAACUCCUACGGGAGGCAGAAGUAGGGAAUCUUCGGCAAUGGACGAAAGGCGGACCGAGCAACGCCGCGUGAGUGAAGAAGGUGUUCGGAUCGUAAAACUCUGUUGGUAGAGAAGAACGUUGGUGAGAGUGGAAAGCGCAUCAAGUGACGGUAACUACCCAGAAAGGGACGGCUAACUACGUG
This 497-nucleotide ribosomal RNA is filed under the name uncultured bacterium. RNAcentral describes it as "partial 16S ribosomal RNA". It matches the Rfam family "Bacterial small subunit ribosomal RNA", at positions 28 to 507 of the family's 1533-position model. The record is from RNAcentral.